UUUCCGUAGGUGAACCUGCGGAAGGAUCAUUGACAAUGAGUGAGCUAUGACACUUUUGAGAAAAUACAUCUCCACCUUGUGGGGGACGUUAUGAGACCCUGUAUAGUUAUAUGGUAGGUUACGGAACAGGGAACCUCUAAAACUAAACGACAUCACCGAGAACUUAUUUGUAUGAACAAUUGUUAUCACGAACUAACUUAAUUCGAAAAUACUACUUUCAAAAACGAAUCUCUAGGCACUCGCAUCGAUGAAGAACGGAGCACAUCGGAACAGCACACG
This 279-nucleotide unclassified non-coding RNA is filed under the name plant metagenome. RNAcentral describes it as "partial contains small subunit ribosomal RNA, internal transcribed spacer 1, and 5.8S ribosomal RNA". The record is from RNAcentral.